AUAAAAACCCCCACUAGGUGGCGCUUUGCGGGUGGGCACUAUGCAGCCAUGUAGUCUCUGAGUGAUAUUCCUUACACUUCCAAAAACAGCAGUGAGUGGGGCUUGUGCUCUGCGGGGGCAUUAGGACGCAUCAGACUUCAUGCAGGGUGCUGGGUGGUUCUCCACACCAGCGCAGUUGGCGUCUCUGUAUGAAUUCAUGAUCCCAGGAGAAAUGUAAAAAGCAUGAAUUUGGUUUUUCUUGGCUGCCACAGUACAAGAGUGGGCAGAGACUGGAAGGCCCUGGACUCACAGACUCGACAGAAAAGCAGCGUGGGUGGGGUCCCUGUGGAAGAGGGGCUGGGUCAGUAAGACACGGAGCUGGCACAGGAGGGCCACAACCAGAACUCUUCCCGAGUGGAGAGUCGUCUGUGCCCUCGCACACGAGGAAGGCCGCUGGCAAAAGGGCAGGGCAGCAUCAGGCUGCCUCGGGCUCAGCAGAAGGGGGUGCCCCCAUCAAAGGCACACAGCUGGCUGCGGAGAGGGCAGGGGCCGUGUAGGACCGGGCAUAUAUUGUAUAAGCACAUGUGGCCUGGGGAGCUCUUCCAUCUCUGAGGACCCCUGAGCAGGGCCCUCAGGGCAUCUGGCCAGGCCCAGAGCAGCUCAGCCAGGGCCCGACCCUGCCCCUUGCUUCGGCCUUAUUUCUGCAGGCUCCUGACAGCCUCCCCAGUCGAGUGCCUCCGCCUGGGAAGUGCCUGCACUGCCCCAAGGGUAGGGGUGCUGCCACCACACCCAACACUGGGGACACUGGGACAGUGUCCAUUUUAACAAAGUAGGAGUGUCUGCUCUCACUUCUCUGUCCAGAGUUGUACAGGAUAUCAGGGGCAGUACCAGAAAACAGAAACGAGUCCAGAUCAGGAAGGAAGAGAGGAAGUGACCUCUCUUUGUAGACAACAUGAUUGCCUGCAUGGACAGUCCCAGAGGAUCUGCAGGGAACCAGUAGCUGUAUUUAGCAGGGUGUCCAGGUAUAAGGCCAAU
Phyllostomus discolor (pale spear-nosed bat) is the source of this 1014-nucleotide long non-coding RNA. RefSeq lists it as uncharacterized. Lineage: Eukaryota; Metazoa; Chordata; Mammalia; Chiroptera; Phyllostomidae. The record is from RefSeq and is a predicted model, not a curated record. The transcript has 2 exons.